Molecule: ribosomal RNA, 385 nt
Filed under: uncultured Propionicimonas sp.
Lineage: Bacteria; Bacillati; Actinomycetota; Actinomycetes; Propionibacteriales; Nocardioidaceae
Description: partial 16S ribosomal RNA
Source: RNAcentral
GACUACCGGGGUAUCUAAGCCUGUUUGCUCCCCACGCUUUCGCUUCUCAGCGUCAGGAAAUGUCCAGAGAACCGCCUUCGCCACUGGUGUUCCUCCUGAUAUCUGCGCAUUCCACCGCUCCACCAGGAAUUCCGUUCUCCCCUACAUCCCUCAAGUCCGCCCGUAUCGAAAGCAGGCUCGGGGUUAAGCCCCGAGUUUUCACUUCCGACGCAACGGACCGCCUACAGGCACGUAGUUAGCCGGUGCUUCUUCUGCAGGUACCGUCAGAAACCCUUCGUCCCUGCUGAAAGCGGUUUACAACCCGAAGGCCGUCAUCCCGCACGCGGCGUUGCUGCGUCAGGCUUUCGCCCAUUGCGCAAUAUUCCCCACUGCAGCCUCCCGUAGG